Asterias rubens (European starfish) is the source of this 6189-nucleotide long non-coding RNA. RefSeq lists it as uncharacterized. NCBI's taxonomy places the organism in Eukaryota, Metazoa, Echinodermata, Asteroidea, Forcipulatida, Asteriidae. The record is from RefSeq and is a predicted model, not a curated record. The transcript is spliced from 5 exons.
UGUGCGGUUAAACUGCGACGAGAGGGAGGACUUGGUAUUGGAUUCUUACAUUACUAAAGAUUAUCUCUUCCAAAAGCUACGCAAUUUGACGAAAAAUCCAUGUAGGUCAUGCAAGAAGUCAUAGAGUCUAUCCAUCAACAAGUAGAUUCCUGUGACCCAAAUCUCAUCAAGCAGUCUAGCUUACAAAACAUGCCUUCACUAACCGCAGGGAGGCAUAUUACCUUCAUCCAGGACUUGGGUCUAAACAAGAGAUUUACUCUCCGGUAAAAGGUAAAUUUCUUUCAAACCGUUAUCAUUGUUCAUGCUCAAAAAGCAAUUUGAAGAGAUUUGCAUCAUCAAGGUUUUGUCCCAAAUUUGAAAGGAGUAAACUGUAAAAGUGUAUUAACUUUUGGUUUGACCCUUACACCGACUUGUAGAUUUCUGAGACUCAAAAUCAUCAUGCUGUCUGAGCAGUCCUGUAUGCUUCAUUUUUGAGAGGGCGAGGGCACCAAGGCAUUUUCUCCUCGGUAAAGGCCACCUUUUCAGAAUAAUGUAAAUAUCUGCUGGAGCUUUUCAAUGGCACCAAGGCAAUGACCAUUGGGCAUGGAAGCAAUCGUCUUUGUUGCCUCCGUGAAGCAUAAGGCCUGGACGUUUCUUCACUUCGUCAAGCAGAUCAACUAAUCUAGACAGGUGAAAGUGUCGGAUCAUCAGUGGGAGUACCUUUGCUUUGUGCAACAAAUCAACUUCACAGACAGAGAGUGUCGGACCUUCUGUAGGCGUUUGCUGCCCAUCAUACCAUCAGCACCGAUGCCUCAGCACCGAUGUCUCAACGAUGCCUCAAUGAUGUCUCAUCGAUGCCUCCUGGCCUCAACGAUGCCUCAACCUGUUUGUAGUUUGUAUUUAGUUAUAGAUUAUUGUUCAAGAAGGAUCAAAUGUUAGACUUAACUGCUCACACUUCCCUUGUGUGGUGAAUUACCCACAAUUCCAAUUGCUCACACUUCCUUUGUGUGGUGAAUUACCCAUAGUUUCAAUUGCUCACACUUCCUUUGUGUGGUGAAUUACCCAUAGUUUCAAUUACUCACACUUCCCUUGUGUGGUGAGUUACCCAUAGUUUCAAUUACUCACACUUCCCUUGUGUGGUGAGUUACCCAUAGUUUCAAUUACUCACACUUCCUUUGUUUAAAAACACAGCACGAAAUCUUGCUGUGCCUUGAUUUAUGGAAAGAUCAAAUCUUAUUUAAAAAAAUACAGAGUUGCAUGCCUGAAAUAAAAGACACUUUAGUGUCUAAAUUCUUAGGAGUCAAACAAAAAUUUGACUUUGCAUUUAUUUUGUAGAAUAGUCAACGUUUCAGCGUGUGUGAAUAAUCUUGUGUGAUGAGUUGCUGACACUUCCAUUGUGCAGUGAAUCGCCCACACUUCCCCUUUAGUUAUUAAGAUCCAUCCAUUUCCCACUCCAAGGUAUAUGAUCCAGAAUCGUACACAUGGCAAAUUCACAAAACCUUUGAAAAUCAAAGAAAAUCUUCUCUUGCGGAUAAUCAGGGCACUCUGAUUGUCUUCUUGGGAAACAGUUUUACCAGUCAGAGAGCACUCUGAUUGAAACUGUUCAAAGAAAUGUUAAACAACUCUCUUUGCAGAACUUUUGGAUAAACAUAAUUUCAACCUCCCUUUGCAGAUACUCAGGGCACUCUGAUUGUCUUCUUGGGAAAAAGUUUUGCCAGUCGGAGAGCACUUUGAUUGAAACUGUUCAAAGAUAUUUUUACAAGACUUUGCAGAACAUUUGGAUCUUGAUUUGAAAAACACAAACUAUUUCUUAUCAAUCAUUUGUGAAUCAUAUAUCUUCCCCCUUUAGUUAAUUAAGAUCCUUCCCUGUUAUACUCAAAUGUAAAUGAUUCAGAUUUGUUUAUGUCAAAUUCACAAAACAAAAUCUUCAAAAUAAAAAAAAAACCUUCCCUUGCAGAUAAUCAGGGCACUCUGAUUGUCUUCUUGGGAAACAGUUUUACCAGUCAGAGGGCACUCUGACUAAAACUGUUUAAAGAAUUUUUAAACAAAAUCUUUGCAGAACUUUUGGAUGAAUAUAAUUGAAACCUCCCUUUGCAGAUAAUCAGGGCACUCUGAUUGUCUUCUUGGGAAACAGUUUUUACAGUCAGAGGGCACUCUGAUUGAAACUGUUCAAAAAUAUUUUGAACAAAACUAAGCAGAACUUUUGACUCUUGAUUAAAAAAAAAAUACAAACCAUUUCUUAUUUAUUUUGACUAACAAUCAGUUCUGAAUCAUAUAACUUUGUAUUAAUAUCGUUGUUAAAUGUACGAGUUGCUCAUACUAACAAAUGAGGCCAUUUAAAAGAGUGAAACUUAAACAAAGUAAUGACUUUUCUUGCAAGCGAAGCCAUUACCUUGUUUCAUUGAACAAACAUAAAAACAAAACUAUGGAAAUCUCUGUAAACUUUUAAAAAAAAGUUAUGAAUUUUCUUGCAAGCGAAGCCAUUAACUUUGUUUCAUUUAAACUAUUACAAUCUUUCCAAAAAUUUUUAUCAAAGUAUUUGUUUUUUCGUUAGUACUUUUGUUCAGAUCUUAAGGGGAAACAACAUUUUUGUUUUGCUUUUCUCCAUUUUGUUUUUGUUCGGGGGUUGUUUUUUUACAUGAAAUUUAAAGAUUUUAAAUUAUGGACUUGUUAUGUAUGAGCAGCUCAUUUUUAUGUAUGCUAGGGCCUCAUCCAAACCCUCUGAAAAACAUGCAGAGUUGUGCAAACACCUGUGCCUGUUGGUGGACCCCCUUGGCCACCUGGAACAAGUGUUGGUCCUGCGGGCCCGGGUGCAAUGGAAGGUGUGUUCUCUAUUCACUGAAAUUCAAUUAGAUGCACAACUAGUGUUCUCCUUCACUGGUGUAAUGGUUUACAAAAUUUGACGAGCUAGAGCGAGCAUUUUUAGAAGCAUGCGUUUGUAGUAGGGCCUGAGCUGGAAGUUAGUGGUUGGUCCCUAAAACGUUCUGGUCGGCAAGAUCUCUCAAGACGUCGGGAUGAGGGCCCCUUAUAAUUUAGCCUUUUGUUGGUCACGUCAUUCUUUUGUUUUUGAGUAAACAGGUUUGAACUGGGGAUCUUUUGAGAUCAUCAAAGGUGCCUUGAGAUGUCUUCGUUUGAGCCAAUGGAAUCUGGACUCGGUGGACGAUGAGGACUUCUAUCCAGUUGACGAUAUGAGGGUUGGAGAAACACGUUUUGCUUGGUCAUGCCACUUCACAUCCAAAAUAUCUAGUAAGAACACCAAUUUUAUUGCCUUUUGAUACCAAAGAUGACAUUGGAUUCCUAUAACUUGUAAUGGUUUAGAAUUGGUUGAUCUUAGAAGAGGUCAAAGGUCAGGUCUAUGUCAAGGUUCUUAGGGUCUGGUCAUGGUCAAGGGCAAAUUACUGCAGGAGAGCACAAAUUAAGGUUUCACGCAAUGCCAAACAUAAAUUUGAUCAUAGAAGUUCUCUAAAACUUUUCAACAUUUACAACUAAAAUGAACAUUUAAAUCUUAUCUGAGACCAUGCUUUUUAAAAUCAUACUAGGUUAGAACUAAGUUCAUCUUAAACACAGCUGCUAAACAAAAGUUUAUUAUAAAAGUUUAUACUUGUGACAUUCCCAACUCAGUCUAAAUUCUAAAUCGUAUUCUUGGAUAGGAAUUUUAAAAUCAAAAUAAAUGUGGAUCUUGCAAGGUUAACAUUUAUAUCUUUGGAGAACACAUUUCUUCCCCCAUUUAGACUUAGAACUUAGUUAGUUCUCAAUACAUCUAAACAUAAAGUUUAUGAUAACAGUUUAGACUUCUCUAAAAGUUUAGGACAUCCACAACUAAAUCCUAUUCUAGGGUAUGAAUUUAAAAGUCAAACUAAUUGUGGAUCAAAACACUUGCGAUGUUAUCAUUUCAAUCUUUGGAGAAUAUUUUUUUGUAUUGUUUUUUUUUGUAUUAUAUAUAUCAGGCCAGAUAAACAAAUAAAUAUUAUCAAAGAUGAAAUUUUUCUAAAAGUUUGGGACAUUCACAACUAAAUUUGACUCUAAUAUUAGAUCUUUUUUUUUUUCAAUAAGACUAGGUAAACCUUACUAUAAACACAAAUGUCCAAAGCAUUGUUGGUAGCUUGGGACAUCACACUUACAUCUUACAUUAUGAUUUGAGUUUAAAUAUCAGGUUAAAAGAACUAAUCGGUAAAACGUUUUUAGUUAAAUCUUUGUUGAGGAUAUUUGUUUUUCUAAUAGGACCAGGUAGAACUAAAUCAAAGCUUUUUCAAGUUCAAGGCACUUAAUAAAAAUGGUCAGCAUUCAAUCUGUAUUAGCUAAGGGUGUUAGGUGUUUACUUGUUCAACUCACUCUCCAUUUUGUGUCAAAGGUCAUAAAUUGGUCAUUGCAUAAAAGGUCACCAGUCAUUUCAAGGUUUCAAAGGGAUCAAUUUGUCUCAAGUUUUGUAGGUAAAUUUACAGCACACAUAUCUGGCAUUGGGUUAUUAUUGCACGCGGCCAAGAGUCAUUUCACCACAGAAAAAAGGAGUAAACUUAUGCGUUACCCCAAACAGGGGUGCAAACUUACAUAUCAAAAUUAGUUUCUGUUGCAAUGAGCGAUCAAUUUUAAGUAAAUCUUUGACAAAAUUUAAACCAUCGAGUCCCUCAUGCUGUUUGAUAAUGUUUUGAGGGGGAAAUCAAGUUUGGUCGUACUUUAAAGCUAGUUAGUGCAAACCUAAAUAUUCCUUUCAAAAACUUCAGUUUACAAUUUAGGAAACAGUUGUUCCCCAAUUUGCAAAGUCACUUUUCCCUAGUUUGUGGCCAACAAUGUUUGAAUGAACAUGUAUAACCAAAAUGAAAUAUUUAAAACAAGACUGUAAAUUGGGAAACAGUUGUGCCCUAAUUGCUAAUAAUGUAGUCCCUCAUUUUAUUAGAUAAUAAUCUGAGGGGGAAUGACAUGUUCGCAAUCGGUUUGGUUCUUUUUUCCGGGGGUGGGGGUACUCAUUUAUCUGCUAGUCCAAACAUGCUUAGCGCAAACCAAGUGAAACUUCAAUUUAGGAAACAGUUGUGCCUUAAAUUGGAAAGAUCUUUAGUCCCUCAUUUUAUUAGAUAAUAAUUGGAGGAGGAAUAAGUAUCACAAAUUGUAAGGGUUAUUGCUGAACAACCAAAAGUUGUUAGCGAAAACCAAGUAAAAGUAUCCCAUUUUAAAUGUCAAUUUAGGAAACAGUUGUAUCCUAAGUUGCUCUUUUUUUCUCAUCAUGUCAACACAAGCCCAAACCACUUUGGAACCACAAUAUUCAGAGUUUUUUUCAAUCAUAAGUGAAGAAUAAAUAAAGUUAAAAGUUUAAGAUAGGAGCAGCGAACUGUUGCGUCAAAAACCACUAUCCACAGGCACACACGUCACAAAAACAAGAUGGCGUCGCCCAUGAAAAUCUAAGCACAAGUAAACAGUCAACUGCUUUUGCAUGCGAAAAUAUAUACAGAAUCAACUGCUGUUGCAUGACUUGCUAUUAACAAUACGUCACCACAUCAGGUUAUAAAAAACUCAAGGGGUCGACAGUUUUAUUUGAAUUUGGUGAACAUGCAACAAAGUAUUGCAGUAUUUUGUUGUAGUCUAGAAAGUAAUUCUAAUAAGUUCCUGGUCUUGAACAAUUACCUUUGUUGAAAUGUGUCAAAGUUGGUCUCUUUAAGGAUGGUAGAAGUUAUAUUUGUCCAAUGUCAUCUUUGUUAUCAUUUAUUGGCAAACGUGUAGUGAGGAAAACAUCACUUUUCGCCGUACUCCAUGUACUUAAACUAAACUAUUGAAAAUAUUGUGACGUUUGUGUGGAUACGUCAAGCGUUUCUCAGAGCUUUUUGUUGAUUCAUAUCAAGUGUUUUAAACAUUUGUCAACUUUGUUUUUAACGCAAAGUUGGUCAAAAACAAGUUCACUUGUAGCCAUUUUUUCCGUUGACUGCAUCUGAACGUCAAAAUUGCAGCCUCAUGAAAAGCAAGGGGGAAAUUAGUGGCCAUUGCAGAAAUUGUUUCUCCAACCAGCACAUCAUCAUCUGGAUAGAAGUCGUCACCAUCUGUUAAGUUAGGAUCCCAUUGGAACAAGCGUCGACACCUCUUAGCACCACCAGUGCAGCUUGGUUGCGAGACAACAAUCGGUGAAAUCUUAGGCCCUUGAGGGCACCAGUUCAUUUAAGCAAGCAACAACUACCUUCUGCUCAUCAACCUCUCCCCAUUACUCGUCACCAAGAAAGGUUUUAU